This 253-nucleotide ribosomal RNA is filed under the name uncultured prokaryote. RNAcentral describes it as "partial 16S ribosomal RNA". It matches the Rfam family "Bacterial small subunit ribosomal RNA", at positions 525 to 777 of the family's 1533-position model. The record is from RNAcentral.
ACGUAGGGUCCGAGCGUUGUCCGGAAUUAUUGGGCGUAAAGAGCUCGUAGGCGGUUUGUCGCGUCUGCUGUGAAAACUCGAGGCUCAACCUCGGGCUUGCAGUGGGUACGGGCAGACUAGAGUGCGGUAGGGGAGACUGGAAUUCCUGGUGUAGCGGUGGAAUGCGCAGAUAUCAGGAGGAACACCGAUGGCGAAGGCUGGUCUCUGGGCCGCAACUGACGCUGAGGAGCGAAAGCAUGGGGAGCGAACAGGA